Molecule: long non-coding RNA, 893 nt
Organism: Ochotona curzoniae (black-lipped pika)
Lineage: Eukaryota; Metazoa; Chordata; Mammalia; Lagomorpha; Ochotonidae
Exons: 2
Source: RefSeq, a predicted model, not a curated record
CUGGUCCUGUCUGUAGUGACGGAGUGUUCUAACAGCACUCCUGGAAGGACUCGGCACAGCCAACCAGUAUUUUAUAAUUGUACCAGCACUACAGUGGAAGACUUGAUUUUCGUCGUGUGAGUAGGAUUGAUUGAUUGAUGGCUUUUUUUCUUUAGAAAAUAAAAAUGGUAGCACAAUGGCAACAUAAAUUCUGAGGAGGUGGGAAGGGUCACACUGCAACAAAAAAUAACUUAAGGAUGACUGUCUUACUGUGAGACUACUUCCUAAUAUUGAGAUACAGUUUAAAGACAGACUGAGUAUCCUAUGACAAAAUGCUUGAGGGCAGAAGUUUUUAGGUAUUUUUCAGAUUUUUGGAAUAUCUGCAUAUAUAAAAUAGACCCAAGUACAUUGUUAGGUUUCAUAUAUACCUUUUAUUCAUAAUUUGAAAGUAAUUUUAUUUAGUGUUAGUCUGGCUGUGUCAUAUAAAGUUAGGUGUGAAAUUUUAGAUGUCACAUGAUAUUUCAAUAUUCAGAACGUUUUGGAACAUUUUAGAUUUUGGAAUUUUGUAUUAGGGAUUUUUGUUCCAAAGAACCAUUUGGUUAAAAGAAAAACUGGAGUGGAUUGUCACAUGGUAAGCUCUUUAUAUGAUACGAUCACAAUUUAACAAGUACGCAAACUUUGUGGAAGUUGUAUCAGCAAGUAAGGAGGAAUAGCUGUAUACAUGAUCCGUGGAAACGAUGGUCUGGGCCUUAGUCCUAGAGGUAAGGAUGCCAGUUAAGAUGCCUGAUAUAAGUCCCAGCUCUGCUGUCAGUUCUAGCGGUCCAACCCAUGCGAAGGAGGAGGUGAGUGAUGGCUCCCGGGACUCUGUGCCCACAGGAGACCUGGAUUGACUGCUCAGCUGCUGUCCCAGUGCU